Molecule: ribosomal RNA, 475 nt
Filed under: uncultured organism
Description: partial 16S ribosomal RNA
Rfam family: Bacterial small subunit ribosomal RNA
Source: RNAcentral
CACUCCUGCGGGAGGCAGCAGUGGGGAAUUUUGGACAAUGGGGGCAACCCUGAUCCAGCAAUGCCGCGUGAGUGAAGAAGGCCUUCGGGUUGUAAAGCUCUUUUGUCAGGGAAGAAACGGUGGUGGCGAAUAACUACUACUAAUGACGGUACCUGAAGAAUAAGCACCGGCUAACUACGUGCCAGCAGCCGCGGUAAUACGUAGGGUGCAAGCGUUAAUCGGAAUUACUGGGCGUAAAGCGUGCGCAGGCGGUUGUGUAAGUCAGAUGUGAAAUCCCCGGGCUCAACCUGGGAAUUGCAUUUGAGACUGCACGGCUAGAGUGUGUCAGAGGGGGGUAGAAUUCCACGUGUAGCAGUGAAAUGCGUAGAUAUGUGGAGGAAUACCGAUGGCGAAGGCAGCCCCCUGGGAUAACACUGACGCUCAUGCACGAAAGCGUGGGGAGCAAACAGGAUUAGAAACCCCGGUAGUCCCAUGA